This 334-nucleotide unclassified non-coding RNA is filed under the name soil metagenome. RNAcentral describes it as "partial contains 5.8S ribosomal RNA, internal transcribed spacer 2, and large subunit ribosomal RNA". The stretch from base 1 to 120 matches the Rfam family "5.8S ribosomal RNA", at positions 35 to 154 of the family's 154-position model. The record is from RNAcentral.
GAUGAAGAACGCAGCGAAAUGCGAUAAGUAGUGUGAAUUGCAGAAUUCAGUGAAUCAUCGAAUCUUUGAACGCACAUUGCGCCCCUUGGUAUUCCAUGGGGCAUGCCUGUUCGAGCGUCAUUUGUACCUUCAAGCUUUGCUUGGUGUUGGGUGUUUGUCCAUUGUCUUGCAGAGGGACUCGCCUUAAAGUAAUUGGCAGCCAGUGUUUUGGUUUUGAAGCGCAGCACAAGUCGCGAUUCAACGCUAUACGCCAGCUUCCACAAGCCUUUUUCACUUUUGACCUCGGAUCAGGUAGGGAUACCCGCUGAACUUAAGCAUAUCAAUAAGCGGAGGA